This 1083-nucleotide ribosomal RNA is filed under the name Klebsiella pneumoniae. RNAcentral's name for it is "partial 23S ribosomal RNA". It matches the Rfam family "Bacterial large subunit ribosomal RNA", at positions 419 to 1509 of the family's 2925-position model. The record is from RNAcentral. RNAcentral also lists the same sequence under 1 other name. Lineage: Bacteria; Pseudomonadati; Pseudomonadota; Gammaproteobacteria; Enterobacterales; Enterobacteriaceae.
GGGACACGUGGUAUCCUGUCUGAAUAUGGGGGGACCAUCCUCCAAGGCUAAAUACUCCUGACUGACCGAUAGUGAACCAGUACCGUGAGGGAAAGGCGAAAAGAACCCCGGCGAGGGGAGUGAAAAAGAACCUGAAACCGUGUACGUACAAGCAGUGGGAGCACCUUCGGGUGUGACUGCGUACCUUUUGUAUAAUGGGUCAGCGACUUAUAUUCUGUAGCAAGGUUAACCGUAUAGGGGAGCCGCAGGGAAACCGAGUCUUAACUGGGCGUUAAGUUGCAGGGUAUAGACCCGAAACCCGGUGAUCUAGCCAUGGGCAGGUUGAAGGUUGGGUAACACUAACUGGAGGACCGAACCGACUAAUGUUGAAAAAUUAGCGGAUGACUUGUGGCUGGGGGUGAAAGGCCAAUCAAACCGGGAGAUAGCUGGUUCUCCCCGAAAGCUAUUUAGGUAGCGCCUCGUGAACUCAUCUUCGGGGGUAGAGCACUGUUUCGGCUAGGGGGUCAUCCCGACUUACCAACCCGAUGCAAACUACGAAUACCGAAGAAUGUUAUCACGGGAGACACACGGCGGGUGCUAACGUCCGUCGUGAAGAGGGAAACAACCCAGACCGCCAGCUAAGGUCCCAAAGUCAUGGUUAAGUGGGAAACGAUGUGGGAAGGCACAGACAGCCAGGAUGUUGGCUUAGAAGCAGCCAUCAUUUAAAGAAAGCGUAAUAGCUCACUGGUCGAGUCGGCCUGCGCGGAAGAUGUAACGGGGCUAAACCAUGCACCGAAGCUGCGGCAGCGACACUAUGUGUUGUUGGGUAGGGGAGCGUUCUGUAAGCCUGCGAAGGUGUGCUGUGAGGCAUGCUGGAGGUAUCAGAAGUGCGAAUGCUGACAUAAGUAACGAUAAAGCGGGUGAAAAGCCCGCUCGCCGGAAGACCAAGGGUUCCUGUCCAACGUUAAUCGGGGCAGGGUGAGUCGACCCCUAAGGCGAGGCCGAAAGGCGUAGUCGAUGGGAAACAGGUUAAUAUUCCUGUACUUGGUGUUACUGCGAAGGGGGGACGGAGAAGGCUAUGUUAGCCGGGCGACGGUUGUCCCG